Long non-coding RNA from Hyaena hyaena (striped hyena), 798 nucleotides. RefSeq lists it as uncharacterized. The record is from RefSeq and is a predicted model, not a curated record. The transcript is spliced from 3 exons. Lineage: Eukaryota; Metazoa; Chordata; Mammalia; Carnivora; Hyaenidae.
UCCCCUCAGAUUCCAACUCAAGUUCUGAGCAUUUGAAAAGGGACUCUUCUUACCCACUCUUAUGUUUCCUUCCGUAUGCCAUCAGACAUAGUGAAAGAGGUCGAUUCUACCCUAAGGUAAUGUGGAGAGAAUGCAAAGCACAAACCAGGGGCAACACCCAAUAUCUGCCCGAAACAAGACUGGGAUAAAGGGAGGUGUGCUGUAAGAACUUCCUGAAUAUUCUUUGAUGUCAUAAAGCAGUAGGGAAUAAGGGGCUAACUGAGAAUAUAAGAUGAAUAAGGAAAGGCACAUCUUCAUGUUUUUAGAAUUUAAACGAAGUUGGAGAGUAACCUGCAAGUUGUAAGAAGCCCUGGAGAAUGACUAAUUUUAUCAGCUUAAAGAAAAGAAAAUCCAGAGAGGGAGCAUAUUUUCAAAUGAGGACCCAAAGAUGACUUGCUCAAGGUGAACACAGUGAGGAAGUUGCAGAUUUAGGACAUAAGUUUCAAAAUAGUCAAAGAAUAAAGAAUAAACAUUCAUGAGGGUUCUUUUCCCUUGGAGAGGAAGGAGAUACUGGAUUUUCUGUGUUUGAAGGAGAUAGUGGGUUUUCAAAACAACACUCAUUGGAAGAAGCUGGCGUGCUGUGACAAGUACAGGCUUGGAAGACGCAGGACCUGACCUCAUGUCUUGGCUCCAACCUGUGUAAAUGGCACUGCUUUGCCCAAGUGAUAUGAACUGUAUGAACUGCAGUGGAAUGAUUAGUAAUGCCUACUUCAUUGGUGUGUAAGAGUUGGAAAUGUUCCAUAAACCAUCACAAUGCAA